Molecule: ribosomal RNA, 253 nt
Filed under: uncultured bacterium
Lineage: Bacteria
Description: partial 16S ribosomal RNA
Rfam family: Bacterial small subunit ribosomal RNA
Source: RNAcentral
UACGAAGGUCCCGAGCGUUAUCCGGAUUUAUUGGGUUUAAAGGGUACGUAGGCGGGUUAUUAAGUCAGUGGUGAAAGCCUACAGCUUAACUGUAGAAUUGCCAUUGAUACUGAUGAUCUUGAGUAUGAUUGAGGUGGGCGGAAUGUGUCAUGUAGCGGUGAAAUGCUUAGAUAUGACACAGAACACCGAUUGCGAAGGCAGCUCACUAAGUCAUAACUGACGCUGAUGCACGAAAGCGUGGGGAGCAAACAGG